Molecule: ribosomal RNA, 253 nt
Filed under: uncultured bacterium
Lineage: Bacteria
Description: partial 16S ribosomal RNA
Rfam family: Bacterial small subunit ribosomal RNA
Source: RNAcentral
GACGAAGGUGGCAAGCGUUAUUCGGAUUUACUGGGCAUAAAGCGCGCGUAGGCGGCUUGGCAAGUCGGGGGUGAAAGCCCGCAGCUCAACUGCGGAACUGCCUUCGAUACUGCCGGGCUAGAGUGCGGGAGAGGCGAGUGGAAUUCCUGGUGUAGCGGUGAAAUGCGCAGAUAUCAGGAGGAACACCAAUUGCGAAGGCAGCUCGCUGGAACGUAACUGACGCUGAGACGCGAAAGCGUGGGGAGCAAACAGG